ACACCAGACUCCUACGGGAGGCAGCAGUGGGGGAUAUUGCACAAUGGGGGGAACCCUGAUGCAGCGACGCCGCGUGGGUGAAGGAGUGCUUCGGUAUGUAAAGCUCUAUCAGCAGGGAAGAAAAUGACGGUACCUGACUAAGAAGCCCCGGCUAACUACGUGCCAGCAGCCGCGGUAAUACGUAGGGGGCAAGCGUUAUCCGGAUUUACUGGGUGUAAAGGGAGCGUAGACGGCGGCGCAAGCCAGAUGUGAAAGCCCGGGGCUCAACCCCGGGACUGCAUUUGGAACUGUGCCGCUAGAGUGUCGGAGAGGCAGGCGGAAUUCCUAGUGUAGCGGUGAAAUGCGUAGAUAUUAGGAGGAACACCAGUGGCGAAGGCGGCCUGCUGGACGAUGACUGACGUUGAGGCUCGAAAGCGUGGGGAGCAAACAGGAUUAGAUACCCCGGUAC
Molecule: ribosomal RNA, 448 nt
Filed under: uncultured bacterium
Lineage: Bacteria
Description: bacterial SSU rRNA
Rfam family: Bacterial small subunit ribosomal RNA
Source: RNAcentral